This 224-nucleotide ribosomal RNA is filed under the name Mesocestoides litteratus. RNAcentral's name for it is "partial small subunit ribosomal RNA". The record is from RNAcentral. Lineage: Eukaryota; Metazoa; Platyhelminthes; Cestoda; Cyclophyllidea; Mesocestoididae.
GUGAGCGAUUCUUAUUAGGGGAAGGUGUGUUGUAAAGGAUGAUCCGCCUAUUAAUUUACUUUUAUUAUGUUGGUGUAUAUCUGGUUUAAUAUUAUUGUUUAAUAACUGAAUUUGUGUAUAUUUAUUUAAGCCAAGUCUAUGUGCUGCUUGUAAAAGAUUUCAUGCGUUACAUUUAUAGUUAUAAAUUAUGAGAAUUUAAUUUUUAAUUAGGACUUAAAAGUAAU